GAUGAACGCUGGCGGCGUGCCUAAUACAUGCAAGUCGAGCGAACAGACGAGGAGCUUGCUCCUCUGACGUUAGCGGCGGACGGGUGAGUAACACGUGGAUAACCUACCUAUAAGACUGGGAUAACUUCGGGAAACCGGAGCUAAUACCGGAUAAUAUAUUGAACCGCAUGGUUCAAUAGUGAAAGACGGUUUUGCUGUCACUUAUAGAUGGAUCCGCGCCGCAUUAGCUAGUUGGUAAGGUAACGGCUUACCAAGGCAACGAUGCGUAGCCGACCUGAGAGCGAGAGAGGUCAAUCAGGAGCUGCGACCCGAGAUGGGCACAGACGGGACGCAGCAGUAGGGAGUAAGCCAUGAUGGGCGUCAGCCAGUAUAGUCAACUGAGCGGGAAAGAACAAAGUAUUAAGUACGUAAAACCGUGUUGAGAGUACAUAACAAAAAGGUAAGUAACAAGGCCCGCCGAGCAGGUACGAAAUAAAAAGGCCACCGCUAACUGCUU
This 496-nucleotide ribosomal RNA is filed under the name uncultured bacterium. Its description in RNAcentral is "partial 16S ribosomal RNA". It matches the Rfam family "Bacterial small subunit ribosomal RNA", at positions 28 to 506 of the family's 1533-position model. The record is from RNAcentral.